RNAcentral lists this long non-coding RNA (337 nucleotides) under Equus asinus (donkey). Its description in RNAcentral is "lncRNA (ENSEASG00005027778.1)". The record is from RNAcentral. Lineage: Eukaryota; Metazoa; Chordata; Mammalia; Perissodactyla; Equidae.
UCUGAAGGGCCAUCUGGCAUCUCUCUGGAAAUAGUCCCUUCCAGGGACACACCUGCAAUCCGGAGCUAGCUGGAGGAGAACUGGGAGACUGCCCUCUCCUGCCUCCCCGCUCCGGGAAGGACCACAGUCAGCCCCAGAGGGAAUUGCUCCAUGUGUAGCUGCAGAUUCAGUGUGUCCGUGGGAGGAGCAUUUAUGAGCAUCGUCCACGUGCCAGGCUCUUUGCCAAGGGAGGCACCAGAGACGUCGCAUUGGGGUGGUCCCAUGGGAGAUCCAGCUCCCUGAAUGAAUUUCCUGCCAGUAGUGGCCCUGAUGUUUGAGGAAUUUUUCUUCAGCUGAU